ACAUGGUCUGUUACAAGGGA
This 20-nucleotide microRNA is filed under the name Nematostella vectensis (starlet sea anemone). Its description in RNAcentral is "nve-miR-2035-5p". Lineage: Eukaryota; Metazoa; Cnidaria; Anthozoa; Actiniaria; Edwardsiidae. The record is from miRBase by way of RNAcentral.